This 497-nucleotide ribosomal RNA is filed under the name uncultured bacterium. RNAcentral's name for it is "partial 16S ribosomal RNA". It matches the Rfam family "Bacterial small subunit ribosomal RNA", at positions 28 to 507 of the family's 1533-position model. The record is from RNAcentral.
GAUGAACGCUGGCGGCGUGCCUAACACAUGCAAGUCGAGCGAAAAGACGAGGAGCUUGCUCGUCUCACGUUAGGGGCGCGCGGGUGUGUCACGCGUGUAUACCCUCCCUAUAAGUCUGGUAUAACUUCGGGACACCGGCUCUAAUCGCGGAUAAUAUAUUGAACCGCAUGGUUCAAUGGUGAGAGUCGGCUUUUCUGUCAGGUAUAGAGGGUUACGCGCUGCAUUAGCUAGUUGGUGAGGUAACGGCUUAUCAAGGCGACGAUGCGUAGCCGACGUGAGAGGGGGAUCGGCCACCCUGGAACUGAGACAGGGUCCAGACUCCUACGGGAGGCAGCAGUAGGGAAUGUGCGGCAAUGGUGGAAAGCCUGACGGAGCAAGGCCGCGUGAGUGAUGAAGGUCUUCGGAUCGUAAAACUCGGUUAUUAGGGAAGAACAAAUGUGUAAGUAACUAUGCACGUCUUGACGGUACCUGAUCAGAAAGCCACGGCUAACUACGUG